AAAAACCUAUUUAACAUCAAAGAAAUAUAUUCAACAAACCCUCACUUCAUCCAUCUUCUUCAUUCCUUGAUCAAUAAGACAUUAUUAUUAGAUUCAUCAUCCAUUUUGAGAGGUUAGUUAUUACGAUUUUUUUUUUAUCGAAUAGCUUACUCUUUUUUAAAUGAUAAAAAUAACAUGAUCAUCAAAGUGAAUAAUGCUUUUGAAACUACUAUUAAUCAUAAUACUCCUCAUUUUUGAUAUAUUUUUUAAGGGAAAAGAUACCAAAAAGAUUUAUGCAAAUGUUAAGUGGUGGCAACCUUAUCAAACCAGCUUUCAUCUUCAUUUGAAUCAUAUUACACAGUAGUAGCAGCCUUACCAAACCGAAGUCAAAGCACGUGUCGGUGAUUAAAUUGUCGAACAUAGAAAUGUGAAGAAUAAGACUACGCAUUAACAAAUAUCCUGACUUCUUUCAACAACGUCGAAUGAUGAACAACCAUCGCGUAUCUCAUAUAAAUUCAUUGUUUCUCCUGUCACCCCAGUAAUGUGAAAAGCAGUCAUACAUUAUAGAUAAAUAAGCAAUAAUAACAACAAUCUGAUCAA
Molecule: long non-coding RNA, 579 nt
Filed under: Olea europaea subsp. europaea
Lineage: Eukaryota; Viridiplantae; Streptophyta; Magnoliopsida; Lamiales; Oleaceae
Source: RNAcentral